GGGGAUUUAGCUCAGUGGUAGAGCGUUUGCCUAGCAAGCGCAAGGCCCUGGGUUCGGUUCCCAGCUCCG
Molecule: non-coding RNA, 69 nt
Organism: Rattus norvegicus (Norway rat)
Lineage: Eukaryota; Metazoa; Chordata; Mammalia; Rodentia; Muridae
Source: Rfam